CAGCAGCCACGGUAAUACGGAGGGGGCUAGCGUUGUUCGGAAUUACUGGGCGUAAAGCGCACGUAGGCGGCUUGGUAAGUUAGAGGUGAAAGCCUGGAGCUCAACCCCAGAAUUGCCUUUAAGACUGCCGAGCUAGCAGGUGAGAGAGGUAAGUGGAAUUCCGAGUGUAGAGGUGAAAUUCGUAGAUAUUCGGAAGAACACCAGUGGCGAAGGCGGCUUACUGGCUCAUACUGGACGCUGAGGUGCGAAAGCGUGGGGUGCAAACAGGAUUAGAUACCCCGGUAGUCCCUGUCUCUUAUAC
Molecule: ribosomal RNA, 301 nt
Filed under: uncultured bacterium
Lineage: Bacteria
Description: partial 16S ribosomal RNA
Rfam family: Bacterial small subunit ribosomal RNA
Source: RNAcentral